GGAGGAGUGGCUGAGUGGUCGAAAGCGGCGGUCUUGAAAACCGUUGUUCCGAAAGGAACCGUGGGUUCGAAUCCUACCUCCUCCGCCA
This 88-nucleotide transfer RNA is filed under the name Candidatus Zixiibacteriota bacterium. RNAcentral describes it as "tRNA-Ser". It matches the Rfam family "tRNA". From Rfam's summary of the family: Transfer RNA (tRNA) molecules are approximately 80 nucleotides in length. Their secondary structure includes four short double-helical elements and three loops (D, anti-codon, and T loops). The record is from RNAcentral. Lineage: Bacteria; Pseudomonadati; Candidatus Zixiibacteriota.